UUGGAGGGUUUGAUCCUGGCUCAGGAUGAACGCUGGCAGUGUGCCUAAAACAUGCAAGUCGGACGGUCCUAGGGUUAGAGGCUAGAGGCUAACUAAAAUGGUUAGUCUUUAGUCUCUAACUCUAGGAUAGUGGCGAACGGGUGAGUAACGCGUGAGUAACCUACCCCCAAGACGGGGAUAACAUCCCGAAAGGGAUGCUAAUACCCGAUGUGGUUAUGAGCUCAUAGGAGCUUAUAACUAAAGGGAAGCGGAAGCGACCGCUUGGGGAUGGGCUUGCGUCCCAUCAGCUAGUUGGUAGGGUAAUGGCCUACCAAGGCGAUGACGGGUAGCUGGCCUGAGAGGGUGGUCAGCCACACUGGGACUGAGACACGGCCCAGACUCCUACGGGAGGCAGCAGUUGGGAAUCUUCCGCAAUGGGCGAAAGCCUGACGGAGCGACACUGCGUGAGGGAAGAAGGCCUUCG
RNAcentral lists this ribosomal RNA (463 nucleotides) under bacterium. RNAcentral's name for it is "bacterial SSU rRNA". It matches the Rfam family "Bacterial small subunit ribosomal RNA", at positions 1 to 420 of the family's 1533-position model. The record is from RNAcentral.